Long non-coding RNA from Lolium perenne, 2513 nucleotides. RefSeq lists it as uncharacterized. NCBI's taxonomy places the organism in Eukaryota, Viridiplantae, Streptophyta, Magnoliopsida, Poales, Poaceae. The record is from RefSeq and is a predicted model, not a curated record.
CUCGCCCCAUUUACGUUCUUUUUUUUCUCUCGCCUUAGGGUUCCCGUCGAUGCCGCCGAUUCUCCCCUUGAGGCCUGAGUCCUUCCUCUCAAAUGAUCCAGGUGAGUCCAGAGACGGCGGCGGCACGCGAGAUCUCCUAAGCGACGAGCGCGGUUGGUGCUCGAUUCACUGUGGAGGCGGUGCAGGGUGCGCGGUCUUUCACACUUCAUCCACCACCGCCCUAGCCCCUCCUCCUCCGCCGGUACCCAACCGCCGUUCAAUCCUCCUGACGCCGCCCCCGCCGGCCCAUUCGCGUUCUAGAUGGGGCUCGACCACCUCAUUUCCCACGCCCAUGGGAAGGGCUCCAAAACGGGAGAGCCAUCCCUCGACGGAUCUGAGCGGGGCAGCGAAGCCGUGGAGAGAUUGACGGAUCUGAGCGUCAUCGCUCGACGGUGGGUCGCGAACCUCAAUGCUUCCCGAGAUCUCUGCCAUCUCACUCCAUCUUCGACGCAACGGGUUGCAGCGGCGCAAACUUACCAUAGGUGCGGCGUCCUCCCACAGCUUCCGCCUUCAUGAGGAAAUCCCCUUCUUCUUCCUCCCCUCUCAUGGACCUCUGUCACCCUCUCCUGCUGCGCUACCAUGUUUUUCUACUUUAACCACAACACGCAAGCCGGGUAGGAAGGAUUACAAGGAACGGGAGAGUCAUCGCCUCAACUCUGUCCUGGACAGACUCGACUGGGGUGGCUACAGAGAACAAUAAAGUUGGUUAAACUGAGUAGAAUUAUAGGUUGAGAAAUGGAAAUCGAGUCAGGUGGCGUGUUUGCCCGCAGAAAUAACAGUGACAUUGAAGAAGAGGUCCAAGGAGAGGAUCCUUAGCACACUCUGGAUCCAGAGUCUCUCGAGUGGAUGAAGAGGAUGUUGUUGUGCCGAAAGAAAACAUGGCGAUUGCAAGGCAUGCAAGCCGGGCUAUGUUUCAGCAAUUUGAACCAAUACUGUAUGGGCAGGCACAUACGGGAAGUGCUCGGUUUGGAUUACUUUUGUUUCCAUACUGGAGUCAGCGGGAGGGGAAUUGGAGGUUCUUGCUCCUCUGCAAAAUCAGUCCGCCAGCUUUCCCCAAGAGAAGAGUUUGAUCAAAACAACAUCUAUCUGAUCAAGCACACAUGGCUAGAGUAGUAUACGAGGAAUAAUUUGACUGUAAGUGGCGAUGGUUUUCACAUAUGAUCUGUUGUUCUUCCACACACUACAGGUCAUGGAUCAUGUUGGUAUAUAAGCACAUGUUUGCGCUUCUGUGGCGUAUAGACAUUGGAACAUAUACAUUCAUGUGCUAGAGCUUGUUUGGUCAGGAGAUGCCAGCCCAAAAGUUAGAAAAUCACGCAAUAACGAAUUUAUUUUAAAGGUACACACCGGCGUAGAGACCGCCUUCCUGCACUAGGAACUCUCCAGAUCAACAGCUUGGCUGCACUAGGGACUUGCCAUCGUCGACACCUGUCUGCCGAGACUUACUCCGUACCGACCACGACGCAUGCCGCUAAUGACGCCUGUCUUGCAGGCUUGCAGCUGACCCCGACGCACCCUACCUAGACCAGGAGGUUGUCGCCACUGCAUUGUUUUUGUCCACCAAGAGGUUAAUUCCGUUCCGAUUGAUGAAAUCUGCAGCAAUCAAACCAUUUACCGUGUGGUAUGAUCUUUUUUGCAAUGGAUUAGAUGCAGACGAGUUGAAACAUGGUACCUGAAGUUUUUCCCUAUCCGUACCACAUUAUUUUUCAUUGUCGACGUUCUGUACUCCGAACUUCGUAGAAAAGGUAAGCAUCUACAAGAUGGUUUACCCUGCUAAGGCAUUUUAUUUCUACAGAUUACACUAAAGCAUUCAAAAUCUUUAGUCAUGUAUGUUGGCCACCAUUGUGGUGCUUAUGCGAAGAACAACUCUGGAAAUAUGCGCGUUCUGAUUUUUUGUCAGCUUUUGUUCAUGAGUUAUUUGUGUAAUGACUGGAGCGGUGGAGACAUCAGUUUUGCUUAUAGCUACAUUGCCAUGGGCGUUUUUGUUCUGUUCCACUUAUUUCGUGAAGCUUCUGGUAAGAAGGCUCCUCGAAUAAAAGUGGAAUUCAAUGAUUUCCUCGAGAAAAACGCGUGAGCAUUUCAAUGGAACUUAUCAUGGUCAUGGUGCUGCACCCUAGAUUAGGGAGGAGACCCAGCGUGGCAGGGAUUAUAUUGACUGCCACGCCGCCAAUGUUGUUCCCUGUAAUCCUCAACCUCCCUCCCAGCAAUGCUGACAUGGAGUUCUUCUUGGUCCCCGUGUCCUUCACGUAACACAAAAGGGUGAUCUUGUCCAGCUUGAACUUAUGUUCAUCCUAUUUAUUCAAGUUUUUAUCCCUUUGUAUUUGCCGUGGCAGACAAUCUGGUUUAGGAUGGAUUGAUGGAAGUCUACAUCAAAUGUAGGAAAGAUGGAAAGAACUUCAGUACACCAAUAUGCAAUUUCUGGUGUACAUUCUUUAAAAAUCUGCGUUUUUUCAAUUGAACUGAACCUACUUGUGUUU